GCUGUGUAUGGCUGAGUGGUACAGCACUUGCCUAGCAUGUGUGAGGCCCUGGGUUCAACCCCAGUACCGUCA
RNAcentral lists this transfer RNA (72 nucleotides) under Marmota monax (woodchuck). Its description in RNAcentral is "tRNA.Ala". The stretch from base 6 to 67 matches the Rfam family "tRNA", at positions 5 to 66 of the family's 71-position model. Rfam says of the family: Transfer RNA (tRNA) molecules are approximately 80 nucleotides in length. Their secondary structure includes four short double-helical elements and three loops (D, anti-codon, and T loops). The record is from RNAcentral. Lineage: Eukaryota; Metazoa; Chordata; Mammalia; Rodentia; Sciuridae.